Molecule: unclassified non-coding RNA, 226 nt
Filed under: Glomeraceae sp.
Lineage: Eukaryota; Fungi; Glomeromycota; Glomeromycetes; Glomerales; Glomeraceae
Description: partial contains 5.8S ribosomal RNA and internal transcribed spacer 2
Rfam family: 5.8S ribosomal RNA (bases 1-71)
Source: RNAcentral
GUGAAUCAUCGAAUUUUUGAACGCAAAUUGCGCUUCCUGGCAUCCCGGGAAGUAUGCCUGUUUGAGGGUCAGUAUUAAUAAAAAAUCGGUUUAGUUACAAAUUGUGACGUUUCCGGAGUUUGGGCUAUCUUAACAUUUUUGGUUAAGAGGCUUAAAAUUGACCUUUUUUGCGCAUUUUUAACGUUCCUUAAUUUUUUUUAUUAGUUUUAUUCUAAUGCCAAAAUUG